CAGUAGCCGCGGUAAUACGAAGGGGGCUAGCGUUGUUCGGAUUUACUGGGCGUAAAGCGCACGUAGGCGGAUCGAUCAGUCAGGGGCGAAAUCCCAGAGCUCAACUCUGGAACUGCCUUUGAUACUGUCGAUCUGGAGUAUGGAAGAGGUGAGUGGAAUUCCGAGUGUAGAGGUGAAAUUCGUAGAUAUUCGGAGGAACACCAGUGGCGAAGGCGGCUCACUGGUCCAUUACUGACGCUGAGGUGCGAAAGCGUGGGGAGCAAACAGGAUUAGAUACCCCGGUAGUCCCUGUCUCUUAUAC
This 301-nucleotide ribosomal RNA is filed under the name uncultured bacterium. RNAcentral describes it as "partial 16S ribosomal RNA". It matches the Rfam family "Bacterial small subunit ribosomal RNA", at positions 509 to 807 of the family's 1533-position model. The record is from RNAcentral.